Molecule: non-coding RNA, 91 nt
Organism: Mycena leptocephala
Lineage: Eukaryota; Fungi; Basidiomycota; Agaricomycetes; Agaricales; Mycenaceae
Source: the annotation of a GenBank genome assembly
GCGGACGUGGUGCACGGUGCAUCGCUGAAUUUAAUAAAUCGGCUACCAUCCAUUUGAUGCAGCAGCUGGGGUUCGACUCCCCGCGUCCGCA